CGGUGGAUGGAGUAAAGUAGGGAUAUUACAUUACACAAAUACAAGGGAAUGGUACGUAUAAAUAGAUAGAUACGAACGUACAUUUAUCGAAAGUUGUACAAUAUCAUCUAGUUGACCGUGGUAAUUAAUUAUAAUUAGACAUAAUAGAUUUGUUGAUUUUAAACUACAAAUUCUGAAAAGUCUUCAAAACAAAUAUGGUCAAGAAUCCAAAACUGUAGUCGUAUUAACUUUUUCGCUAGCAAGUACUAUAUAUAUUUAUGACUGACUCUCAGUAAACAAACGUGCAAGACUUUAAAUAUAAAAAGUUGACAAAAAAAAUAAAAUAUAUAUAUAUAUAUAUAUAUCUAUAUAUAUAAACAUGGCCCCUCCCAAAUAGAGCAAAUCCACAGGUUUGCCAAAUAAAGCAAAAGCAGUUUCCAACAAAAGAUAAUGCUAUUUUUCUUACAGCUAUGAAACCUACCUCGUACGGACGUAUAAACUGCAUGUCUCCAGACUUUCGAAGUGGUUAUUGCAAUAGCCUUAGCCGAAACAUCAAGGUAACUAGUCUAUACGAUUUCAACUCUCAUGGCUCGACAGAACUGACUAUUCUAAUUCUGCAAAGCUUUUACUGAUGAGGGACCAUGUACCAGAGGUACACACGUGAAUACGUGACGCAAACAGGUAACACGCUCUCGUAUCCUUAUUUAUCUUUAAUCGUUUGAUUGACACAUGAUACUGUACGUGAUUAAUUAGUAAUUCAUUCAAUUUAUAUAUAUAUAUAUCUUGCCUCAUGACUUUUCAGCUCGUUGUUGCCAUUAUUUGCAAGUUCAAAUCUGAAUUCAGAAAUUCAAAUUUAAUUACAGACUUACUCUGACUAAUAUAUUUUCAUAUUCUGGACGAAAAAUCUAUAAUCAUAUAUUGCUUGAGAGUUCGAAUUAAGCAAUUAUUUUCCGAUACAUCUCACUUGGAUACUCGGUUAAAGCCUGUCAAUUUGAGCCGUAUUUGUUUUCAUCACUAGCUAGUGCAAUGCAAUAUGAGCGACUCAAACAUAUAAGACUCCAAAAACGCAAUUACCAAAAACUAUUUUGAAUAAACGAAAUAUUGAUCCAGUGGUCACUUGUUAGUUGUUACAGGACAAAACCUUUUUUUUGUCACUAUUACAAGACAAAACCCUAGAACAACCAUUGACGCUUGUUUCAACAAAAUAACAACCGCUUUGUUGUUUUAAAUGAGCUGCGCCACAAUAGCGGCAGUAACACGAAUUAUUUGAAUACAUCAUUCAUGGUAAAGUGUCAAAUCCAGAUUCGGCUAAUAAGAAAUGUGUGUCACAAGAUUAGCUGUCAUCAAUAAUUGACAAUAUGACCUUAUUUUGUCCUUUUGUAAUAAUAGCUAGAUAGGUUUAGAGUUACCUUUAAAAACUUGUAUAUUGUGUAACGUUUUCAACUAUAAUGCUUUGUCAAUCCAAUUCGUAUUCAAGUACUGUAUAUCCGCAUCAAAAUUUAAGCACAGGUUCAUACGCUAAUGAGUGUACAUAUAUAUGUAUAUGUCUAUAUCAUAACUGUAAUGUAACUAUGAUGUAGAUGUCGAUAAUUUUAUGAAUGAUAGUGUUAGGGUUCAAUUUGUACUGAUAUGUAUCGCUUAUACUUAUGAAUUUUCUUCAUCUUCAAUCUUCAUGAAUCGUUGGUCUUAUUUACCUUUGUUAUAUGGUAUUUACAUAUGUACUCACCGUCAACUUUCUGUGCAUUUAUUCCGUGUCAUAGUAUACGUUUUAUUAACGACAAAACUUGUUACAUUAUGUAAUUUAAUUACUAUCACUGACAGGAUAAAAUAUUUAUUCGUCAUCUGAUAUCAGUUAGUUAAGUAAUGUUCGAGAAUCGAUUUUAUAAAACGUUGAUGUUUUAUCUUGAAUGAUUGUGAUUUACAGAAGAGGUUAAGAUACUCAUAAUCUAUAUAUAUAAGACCAAUUAUUAAAAAGACAAAACACUAGUUCAAGAAACAAUAGCGGUGGAUGGAGUAAAGUAGGGAUAUUACAUUACACAAAUACAAGGGAAUGGUACGUAUAAAUAGAUAGAUACGAACGUACAUUUAUCGAAAGUUGUACAAUAUCAUCUAGUUGACCGUGGUAAUUAAUUAUAAUUAGACAUAAGAGACUGACCAUGCUGAUGCUGUUGUGGCUGCGGCUGUAGAGGCGGCUGAGAACUCGAUUGAGUUAUUUGCUUGUUAUUGACC
This 2208-nucleotide long non-coding RNA is filed under the name Brassica napus (rape). Its description in RNAcentral is "long non-coding RNA (BNAP_LNC024960)". The record is from RNAcentral. Lineage: Eukaryota; Viridiplantae; Streptophyta; Magnoliopsida; Brassicales; Brassicaceae.